UGUCUGUCAGUCACCUCGUAGUAUAAAACCUCUCUCCAAAUCCUUCAUUCUGGCAUAACAUUUACCGCAGAUAUACUUCACUACUACCGCAGGGUCGUAUUUACCCCCUAAAUCUAGUUUCAAAUGGGCCCCGUCGCCUAGCGUUAACUCCCCUACCUAGCCUCGCUGAUUCAGUUGGCUGCUGUUUUAACAUCUCUUGGGUAACAACAACAACAACAAAAAAGGGUUUCUAUCUAACGCACUAUUCAACAAGAUCUGAAGAAUGGCAGCGAUCAAUGCAGGCGCUUCUCUUGUUGCUACCAAUGACUACUACCGAAGGCGCCUCGGCUCCACUUCCAGCAGCAGCUCCUGUGGCAGUUCAGAGUACAGUGGGGAGGUCAUUCCACACCAUCCAGGUCUGCCCAAACAAGACUCUGGACAUUGGUGGUCCAGCUUCUUCUUUGGGAAGCAGAACCAGCCAGGAAUGACCACUCUGACUGAGGAGGCCAAGCAGAAGUAAGUUAAAGUAGGCAACUGGGAGAAAUGUGGGUAAUGGACUAUAACCUCUUACGUAUUCAAAACACUUCAGAAUGUUCUUGACUUAUCCUCUGGUUCCAUUGCGCUCCCUUGGGGGGGGGGGGUGUAAAAUAAACAUUGCUUUUAGAGCUGAACUGAACAUACUCUCAGAAGCACAGUGCACUUUGUUUCAUGUCUGUAGGGCUUACCAUUGCUAAGAUAUAUAAUUUUCUUUGUGUGUGUGUGUCUCAAUUCUGGGUCAAAAGGUCACAGGAUAAGAUGCACAUGUCAAUGGCAAAGCCUUUUCUAAAAAAAUGGUGCCAAAAUGACACCAGGUGGACUCAGAUUAACAAACAAAGUCAUUUUCAGGAGUUAACUGGAAUUUGAGAGGGAGAAAUUUCCUGAGUUACAGUUCAUAAAAGGAAAUCGGUUAAUUUAAAUAAAUUAGGCCCUAAUCAAUGGAUUUCAUAUGACUGUGCAGGGCCGCAGCCAUGGGUGGGCAUGGACUGUCACAGGCACACGCACUGGGGAGCCAGGCCCUGCCAAUCAGUUUUUUCCCCACAAAAGAGCUUUAUUACAGACAGAAAUACUCCUCUGUUUUAUCAGCUGUCCGGGUGGCUGGUCUUAGACAUACUGCCACAUUAUCUAAAAUGACGCUGAGUGCAGCUUAUGGUAGAUAAUUUAACAUUAAAUUCUCUGGCAACAGUUCUGGUGGACAUUCCUGCAGUCAGCAUACCAAUUGCACACUCCCUCAACUUGAGACAUCUGUGGCAUUGUGUUGUGUGACAAAACUGCCCAUUUUUAGAGGCCUUUUAUUGUACCCAGCAAAAGGUGCACCUGUGUAAUGAUUAUGCUGUUUAUUCAGCUUCAUAAUAUGCCACACCUGUCAGGUGGAUUAAUUAUCUUGGCAAAGGAGAAAAAGGUCAUUAAAACGGGUCUAAACAAAUUUGUGCACAACAUUUUAGAUGUUUUUUGAGUAUGGAAAGUUCUGGGAUCUUAAUUAAGUUCAUGGCACCAACGUUUUAUAUUUGUGUGUAUAAUACACAUUUCAUGUUAAUUUAUGCAAUAUGCAUUAAAUCUUUGACGAAUUCGUAAAAAAAAAUUAUCUUGUAAGUUUUAAAAAUAAAGCUUUAUUUUUUUUUAACCUAAUGCAGUAAAGUCACAAGCUACUGAUCUAACCAGAGGUAAUACUUUUAAGGUUUUAGUGUGCUUGUUACAUCUCUUAUGGAAUUCGACUUGACCUAAUCACAUUAUCUUCCUUCUGCCCACCAUUUUGAUACUAUUUCAAUGCAUUCCAAUGGCCAUAGACUUUCAAUGGAGAAAUGUCCAUUCAUAGCUCCUCCCACACCUACUCAGCACACCGUUAACCCCGCCCUCACCCACUGUUAGGUGAGGAGACUAACCUUCCUGAUAGCUACUAUAGUAAAGGUGAGAUGGCAAGUGUUCAUAAAUGGACAAACAAACAGAUUCUUGGUUGGGCCUUUUUUAUUAGCGUUAAAGACAAUGGGCCUUUUUAUUAGCGUUAAAGACAUUGGGCCUUUUUAUUAGCGUUAAAGACAAAGGUGCGUAUCUUAAGUUACAUUGUUCACUAUGGGACUUACUUACAUUAUACCGACUAGUUGGUCAGAAGAGGUGAAGACAAGGCCAUCCAGAAUACAGGCUUAUUAAUAUCAAACAAAUAAGCAUCUGUAAUUUCACACAAAUGUGCGGUAGCAAGGUUUUCAUAUUCGCGUGUAUCCUUAUACUGUCCUUCUCUCACACUGGGAUUUACGGUUUUACACAAGGGGGUGCAAAAAACCCCCGCUAAAGCCCAUUGGGCGUCUUACCAGAAUGCUAGCGGAAAAACCCCCAGCUCUUUAUAAGUGUUGUGAAACAACUUCAACUAGUAGUCAAUUCAUUAGCUGACAUUUCCAAACCCUUAUUGUCUUGCUUCAUGAAUACUCCCUCCUGGGUCCCUCACUAGGACAGACAGCUUUCUGACACACUAAGACAUAAUCCUCAUGGCAGUUUCAUCUACAACAUUAAGCAAGGUGCUCCCUGCUGAAUACAACACCAGUUUUCCUUGUUCUCACACUCAACCUCUCUCUCCCUAAACAACUCCUCCUCGCUCACACUGUCCUCCAUCCCUGGGAAUUGAACUGGCGACCUUUGCAUUGUUAGUGCUACAGUCUUCCCGACUGAGCCACGCAGGUCAUCCUUACCUCUCCCCGUUUUGCUUUGCUCUCACACUCGACCCCUCUCUUCCAGGGCGGCGGCCAUGACUGUGACCAACGGCCAGGUGACCUGCGUUGCCAGGGAGAUGGUGAUGAAGAGGCAGGUCAGCGACGGCAGCGAAGCCGGGAGGCCGGAGCCGGGGAGUCCACCCCCCUCCUGAGAGAUGGGACAAACGCUAGGAGACGGAGGCUGCGUCCCCAUUCCCUAAACCCUUAAUGCGGUUCCAUCCUCCACACUACAUAGAAUGUAUGCCUCUUACAUUGCUUCAUACUAGGUAGUAUGGAUAUUGGAACACACACGCUUUUUUUGUUUGUCUUAGUAGGACAGGUUGACAAUGACCGUUGUUUUAUUUGUAUCCCGUUUUUGUUUUUUUUAAAUCUAUGAACAAAAUAUAUAUAUAUAAAAAAUCUUUUUUUUUUUUUUACAUUUGUACUUGUCUGUAACACCGUGGUGCCCUCAUAACUUUUGUUAACUUCUCCACUUUGUCACCCUGUGAUUGCAGAUGUCUAGUAAAAGUCGCCUCAGCCUAAUUAUAGACUUGUCUGUCAUUUCUGUUUCUUUCAAUGGAAUUUAUUGCUCUGAAAACAAUCUUGCUAUGCCAAACAGUCAACAUUAACCUGGGCACUCAGUAUCCGUCAGUCAACCUUUAUUCGUCAGUCAACAUUAAAAGGAUCAAACCCUAUAGAGAACAUACAUUUUUUUAUUACCAUAUAAUUUUUGUAAGUUUACACACUCAGGAAUGUGAUGAAUAAUUAGCUUCCCUAUAGAAAAUACACUAACCUUCACACAUCUAGGGGCAGGGGUUCAAACUGUAGAACCCUCUUCCUACAUUUGAAUAUAAAAAUAGAUUUUAUCAAACAAAACUAUGCUACAUUUUAUGGGACCCUCAGGAUGACAAAUCAGAGCAAGAUUACUGAAUGUAAGUACAUUAUUUACCUUCAGAGGUGAAUGUAUCAAACCAGUUGCCGUGAUACGUUUUCUGUUGUGCACUCUCCUCAAACAAUAGCAUGGUAUUCUUUCACUGUAAUAGCUACUGUAAAUUGGACAGUCCAGUUAGAUUAACAAGAAUUUAAGCUUUCUGCCCAUAUAAGACAUGUCUAUGUCCUGGGAAAUGUUCUUGUUACUUACAACCUCAUGCUAAUCACAUUAGCGCACGUUAGCUCAACCAUCCCGCGGCUGGGACACACGAUCCCGUAGAGGUUUUAACCUGGGCACUCAGUGUUCAACUCUGUCAGGCUGAAUACUGGAAACAGACCAUUGAUAUGCAUGGAUCCUCUUACCUUCUUGUCUGUGACUUAUGAAGCCUUUGGCAGUUAUGGAUCUUUUGGCAGUUAUGGAUCUGAAAUACUAGAAACAAACAAUCCCUCUGCCAAGUAUAGUAAGUAAAUGGGAAUGUCCAUUCCUACCAUGCUGUGUAAAGUUUAUUCUGGAAGCUUAGGACUAUUCAGUACAGUCAAUUGCUAUGUGAAAUGUAACACCGUUAUGAUAAGUAUGUCUAGUGGAGGGGGCUUCCUACUGCCAACACUGCAAGACACCAUGUUGUCUGACACCAGGCCAUUAGGCUGUUCUUGUCUUGAGUCAAACCAUGUUGUCUGACACCAGGCCAUUAGGCUGUUCUUGUCUUGAGUCAAGACACCAUAUUGCCUGACACUGUUAGGUUCUACUCCGGUACGGUACUCGGAUACGGAGGCAGAGAAAAUCUCCGACCAGAUGUAUUCACCCAACAGGAUACCCUCAGCUGUAUAGCAGCACAGUGCUACAGAGCCAGUCUUAUCUACAGUACCUGGGGUGAAUGUCUCAGCAGGAUGGGACAGGCUGGACCAGAUGGCUGUUUGGCUCUGAUCUCCCUUCAGAUACCAUUCUGAUAUCUGCAUCUUGUCAUUCUCACUUCUCUCCCCAACUGCUACGUUGAAAGCCAUCAUCUCACUUCCCACAGAAACUAGCCAUUUGGACAGUAACUUAACCUUGACCCUAUCAUAACCCUGACAGAAGGUUUCUAUUGACCUUUAGGGAAUCAUUCAUGCAGUCCGAAGCAGUCCCCUAUCCCUAUGCCUAAAUACAAUGCACAUAGAUUCACCCAAUCCCAUAACAGGAUGAUUACUACGGAUUAUUCUAGAAAAGGUUAUAGUGUCAUAACGGCCUCCAACAGCACCGUUGAAUUUGUCUUACAAUGUUGGGAAAAGCUUUCUCCAAUAUUCUGCUAUUUUAUACUGAAAGAUACAUUUCUGUAGCUCAAAGAAAGGAAAACCGCUUAUGAUCGGCAGAUAUUUUAUUUUGAUUUAACCUUUAUUUAACUAGGCAAGUCAGUUAAGAACAAAUUCUUAUUUACAAUGACGGCCUACCAAAAGGCAAAAAGACCUGAGGGGACAGGGGCUGGGAUUAAAAAUAUCUUUCUAUUAUGGUUUUAUUUGGUAAAUCAAGUGAGGUUGGUUGCAUAAAACAAGUAUGAAAGACUAUUUUACUAUAUACAAAUUACACUUCCAUCAGAGGUUAAUGUUUGUGAAUAUAUAAAGCACAUUAUAUUUGCAUAUCAGUCAAUACAUUGACAGAUCUGUCUUGGGGAUUUAACCAGAAGCUAACUAAAUGCUAUUGUCGAUCCAUAGACUACAAUACUAGCGUUGUAGCCAUUAGAUUACGUGAAUGUGUCAUGCCUUGCUACCCAGGAACCAAACACAUAGAACAGAAGGGACCAGGGAAAAACAAACAAGGAUCAUUAUGUUCCAGAAGUGCUUUUAUCUUUAGACUGAGCAGCAGUUUUUCCAGGUCACUGGGUAGUUGUGUGUGGGUGGGAACAUACUUCUCACAGAGAGAAAAAGGGAGGGAGAGAAUCAGUCUGUCUCUCUAGCUCUGAACCAGGUAACAGGUUGCUGCUGCCUGUCUCUCUAGCUCUGAACCAGGUAACAGGUUUCUGCUGCCUGUCUCUCUAGCUCUGAACCAGGUAACAGGUUUCUGCUGCCUGUCUCUCUCUAGCUCUGAACCAGGUAACAGGUUUCUGCUGCCUGUCUCUCUAGCUCUGAACCAGGCAUCAGGUUUCUGCUGCCUGUCUCUCUCUAGCUCUGAACCAGGUAACAGGUUUCUGCUGCCUGUCUCUCUAGCUCUGAACCAGGUAACAGGUUUCUGCUGCCUGUCUCUCUAGCUCUGAACCAGGCAUCAGGUUUCUGCUGCCUGUCGGCCUGUCUCUCUAGCUCUGAACCAGGUAACAGGUUUCUGCUGCCUGUCGGCCUGUCUCUCUCUAGCUCUGAACCAGGCAUCAGAUUUCUGCUGCCUGUCUCUCUAGCUCUGAACCAGGCAACAGGUUUCUGCUGCCUGUCGGCCUGUCUCUCUCUAGCUCUGAACCAGGCAUCAGGUUUCUGCUGCCUGUCGGCCUGUCUCUCUCUAGCUCUGAACCAGGUAACAGGUUUAUGCUGCCUGUCGGCCUGUCUCUCUCUAGCUCUGAACCAGGCAUCAGGUUUCUGCUGCCUGUCGGCCUGUCUCUCUCUAGCUCUGAACCAGGCAUCAGGUUUCUGCUGCCUGUCGGCCUGUCUCUCUCUAGCUCUGAACCAGGUAACAGGUUUCUGCUGCCUGUCUCUCUAGCUCUGAACCAGGUAACAGGUUUCUGUUUUAUUCAACUCAUGAAUGAAUGUUCCCAUAUUGCUGCCUGGCAACCAGCCAGUAUCAGGAGAAAAGGGAACAUCUUGUUCCGUUAGUUAUGCUGCACAGAGUAGAACAGGCUGUGGCCAAAGUUAUGAAAUGAAGAAAGGAAGGGAGGGGAAAAUUAACAAUAGAAAAAGGAGAGUAGGAGCAGAGGGUGUAUAACUGGACUGUGUGUUUGAUUGAAUUCAUAUCUUAUACCAAUGUAUGGAAUAAUAUAAAGGGAGGGUCUUUUCAAUCCAUAUCGCGGAAGUUCAGCGUUACGUCACGAUUUAAAUUUAAAAGGCAAUGUUAGUGGAGAGUGCAUUCACGGUAAACGCUGUAAUAUGUCGACUCAAUCAGAAAUGACCUUUAAAUUUAUAGCGUGCAAUCUGUAACGCCUCAGCGAAUAGAGAUUGAAUAAAGGCUGAAGUCUGUUUUUAGAGAGCGCUUGCAGAAAUGGCAUUUUUCAGGGUAGGAUAGGGAGUGACGCAAAAUGUAAAACAUGUUCGACACCGACUGGCUUGAUCAAGUCCAUAUUUCUGUGCUGAGAGGACAGACAGAGUGGAAGAUGUCUUCUCCCUCGUCUUCCUCUUGGAGUCUUUCCCUCUUUGUGUUUCAACCUGUUGAUUGGUGGUGGUGUGACUCUACUGGACCGCUCUGUUGGCUGGGGGGCGCUGGACCGGGGGCGCUGGACCCGGGGCGCUGGACCGGGGACGCUGGACCGGGGGCGCUGGACCGGGAGCUGGACCGGGGAGCUGGACCGGGGAGCUGGACUGGGGGGCGCUGGACCGGGGUGCUGGACGGGAGCACUGGGCGAGGGCGGUGGGCUGGACGGGGCGGUGGGCUGGACGGGGCGGUGCAUGGUUUGGGGCUCCCCCAGAACCACACUGACCCACCUUCCUUUAGAUAUUCCCCCUGCUCCUGGGAACCCUGAGGAGGAUAUGAAGAGGUGAUUAGUAAAUCCCCUGCUCCUGGGAACCCUGAGGAGGAUAUGAAGAGGUGAUUAGUA
This 7330-nucleotide long non-coding RNA is filed under the name Salmo salar (Atlantic salmon). RNAcentral describes it as "lncRNA (ENSSSAG00000090817.1, ENSSSAG00000110744.1)". The record is from RNAcentral. Lineage: Eukaryota; Metazoa; Chordata; Actinopteri; Salmoniformes; Salmonidae.